ACAGCGUACUGGGGGAGUCGGCGAAAACCGGCUGAGAGGAGACUAGUGGUCUCGACCCCUGGAACCUGAUCCGGGUCAUGCCGGCGAAGGGAAGUCAGACAAAAUCUUC
Molecule: non-coding RNA, 109 nt
Filed under: Aminobacterium colombiense
Lineage: Bacteria; Thermotogati; Synergistota; Synergistia; Synergistales; Aminobacteriaceae
Also listed under: 1 other name
Description: TPP sequence
Rfam family: TPP riboswitch aptamer (THI element)
About the family: Vitamin B(1) in its active form thiamin pyrophosphate (TPP) is an essential coenzyme that is synthesised by coupling of pyrimidine and thiazole moieties in bacteria. The previously detected thiamin-regulatory element, thi box was extended, resulting in a new, highly conserved RNA secondary structure, the THI element, which is widely distributed in eubacteria and also occurs in some archaea.
Source: RNAcentral